GACGAACGCUGGCGGCGUGCUUAACACAUGCAAGUCGAACGAAGUGGCGCACGGGUGAGUAACGCGUAAUCCUCCUGCCCUUCAGAGGGGGACGACAGUUGGCAACGACAGCUAAUACCUCAUACGCAAGGUGGGGGUUGCGUCGGCUUGGCGUGUUGGAGGGGGAACGGCCCAACAAGGCGAGGACCAGUAGCCGGUUGGAGAGGGUGAAUCGCCAAAUGGGGACUGAGAAAAGGCCCAGAAUCCUACGGGAGGCAGCAGUGGGGAAUCUUUGGCAAUGGACGAAAGUCUGACUGCGCAACUCCGCGUGAGGGAUGACGGCUUUCGGGUUGUAAAGCCCUGUUAAUCUGGACGCGGUACCGAAAGAGAAAGCCACGGCUAACUACGUGCCAGCAGCCGCGGUAAUAC
This 408-nucleotide ribosomal RNA is filed under the name uncultured bacterium. RNAcentral describes it as "partial 16S ribosomal RNA". It matches the Rfam family "Bacterial small subunit ribosomal RNA", at positions 28 to 526 of the family's 1533-position model. The record is from RNAcentral.